This 468-nucleotide ribosomal RNA is filed under the name uncultured bacterium. RNAcentral's name for it is "partial 16S ribosomal RNA". It matches the Rfam family "Bacterial small subunit ribosomal RNA", at positions 28 to 507 of the family's 1533-position model. The record is from RNAcentral.
GACGAACGCUGGCGGCGUGCUUAACACAUGCAAGUCGAACGGAAACGCCCUGCUUUUGUGGGGUGCUCGAGUGGCGAACGGGUGAGUAACACGUGAGUAACCUGCCCUUGACUUUGGGAUAACUUCAGGAAACUGGGGCUAAUAUCGGAUAGGAGCUCCUGCUGCAUGGUGGGGGGUGGAAAGUUGCGGCGGUUGGGGAUGGACGCGCGGCUUAUCAGCUUGUUGGUGGGGUAGUGGCUUGCCAAGGAUGUGACGGGUAGCCGGCCUGAGAGGGUGACCGGGCACAAUGCGACUGAGGUACGGCCCAGAGGCGUACGGGAGGCAACGGGGGGGAACAUUGCCCAGUGGGAGGGAGCCUGAGACAGCAACGCCGCGUGCGGAAUGACCGUCUGUGGGGUGUAAACCGCUUUCGGCUGAGACGAAGCGUGAGUGACGGUAAUGAGUAAAGAAGCACCGGCUAACUACGUG